Molecule: ribosomal RNA, 231 nt
Filed under: uncultured bacterium
Lineage: Bacteria
Description: partial 16S ribosomal RNA
Rfam family: Bacterial small subunit ribosomal RNA
Source: RNAcentral
GAUCAUGGCUCAGGACGAACGCUGGCGGCAUGCCUAACACAUGCAAGUCGAACGGAGCCAAUCAAACAAUCCCUUCGGGGUGCGUUUGAGGAAGCUUAGUGGCGGACGGGUGAGUAACGCGUGAGUAACCUGCCUCUCAGAGUGGAAUAACGUUCCGAAAGGAACGCUAAUACCGCAUAACGUAUUGAUACCGCAUGAUAUUGAUACCAAAGAUUUAUCGCUGAGAGAUGG